GCUCCAGUGGCGCAAUUGGUUAGCGCACGGUACUUAUAAUCAGUAAAAAGUGAAGUUAACCACAAUGUGUGAGCGAUGCCGGGGUUGUGAGUUCGAGCCUCACCUGGAGCA
This 111-nucleotide transfer RNA is filed under the name Glossina brevipalpis. RNAcentral describes it as "tRNA tRNA-Ile". It matches the Rfam family "tRNA". From Rfam's summary of the family: Transfer RNA (tRNA) molecules are approximately 80 nucleotides in length. Their secondary structure includes four short double-helical elements and three loops (D, anti-codon, and T loops). Further hydrogen bonds mediate the characteristic L-shaped molecular structure. tRNAs have two regions of fundamental functional importance: the anti-codon, which is responsible for specific mRNA codon recognition, and the 3' end, to which the tRNAs corresponding amino acid is attached (by aminoacyl-tRNA synthetases). tRNAs cope with the degeneracy of the genetic code in two manners: having more than one tRNA (with a specific anti-codon) for a particular amino acid; and 'wobble' base-pairing, i.e. permitting non-standard base-pairing at the 3rd anti-codon position. Lineage: Eukaryota; Metazoa; Arthropoda; Insecta; Diptera; Glossinidae. The record is from RNAcentral.